This 565-nucleotide ribosomal RNA is filed under the name uncultured bacterium. RNAcentral describes it as "partial 16S ribosomal RNA". It matches the Rfam family "Bacterial small subunit ribosomal RNA", at positions 355 to 940 of the family's 1533-position model. The record is from RNAcentral.
UGGGGAAUCUUGCGCAAUGGGCGAAAGCCUGACGCAGCCAUGCCGCGUGAGUGAUGAAGGCCUUAGGGUUGUAAAACUCUUUCACCGGGGACGAUAAUGACGGUACCCGGAGAAGAAGCCCCGGCUAACUUCGUGCCAGCAGCCGCGGUAAUACGAAGGGGGCUAGCGUUGCUCGGAAUUACUGGGCGUAAAGGGCGCGUAGGCGGAUCAGCAAGUUGGGGGUGAAAGCCCGGGGCUCACCUCGGAAUUGCCUUCAAAACUGCUGAUCUAGAGUACGGGAGAGGUGUGUGGAACUCCGAGUGUAGAGGUGAAAUUCGUAGAUAUUCGGAAGAACACCAGUGGCGAAGGCGACACACUGGCCCGUUACUGACGCUGAGGCGCGAAAGCGUGGGGAGCAAACAGGAUUAGAUACCCUGGUAGUCCACGCUGUAAACGAUGAUUGCUAGUUGUCGGCAGGCAUGCCUGUCGGUUGACGCAGCUAACGCAUUAAGCAAUCCGCCUGGGGAGUACGGUCGCAAGNUUAAAAACUCAAAGGAAUUGACGGGGGUCAUAGCUGUUUUCCCAU